RNAcentral lists this ribosomal RNA (655 nucleotides) under Bacillus tequilensis. RNAcentral describes it as "bacterial SSU rRNA". It matches the Rfam family "Bacterial small subunit ribosomal RNA", at positions 87 to 727 of the family's 1533-position model. The record is from RNAcentral. Lineage: Bacteria; Bacillati; Bacillota; Bacilli; Caryophanales; Bacillaceae.
UGAUGUUAGCGGCGGACGGGUGAGUAACACGUGGGUAACCUGCCUGUAAGACUGGGAUAACUCCGGGAAACCGGGGCUAAUACCGGAUGGUUGUUUGAACCGCAUGGUUCAAACAUAAAAGGUGGCUUCGGCUACCACUUACAGAUGGACCCGCGGCGCAUUAGCUAGUUGGUGAGGUAACGGCUCACCAAGGCAACGAUGCGUAGCCGACCUGAGAGGGUGAUCGGCCACACUGGGACUGAGACACGGCCCAGACUCCUACGGGAGGCAGCAGUAGGGAAUCUUCCGCAAUGGACGAAAGUCUGACGGAGCAACGCCGCGUGAGUGAUGAAGGUUUUCGGAUCGUAAAGCUCUGUUGUUAGGGAAGAACAAGUACCGUUCGAAUAGGGCGGUACCUUGACGGUACCUAACCAGAAAGCCACGGCUAACUACGUGCCAGCAGCCGCGGUAAUACGUAGGUGGCAAGCGUUGUCCGGAAUUAUUGGGCGUAAAGGGCUCGCAGGCGGUUUCUUAAGUCUGAUGUGAAAGCCCCCGGCUCAACCGGGGAGGGUCAUUGGAAACUGGGGAACUUGAGUGCAGAAGAGGAGAGUGGAAUUCCACGUGUAGCGGUGAAAUGCGUAGAGAUGUGGAGGAACACCAGUGGCGAAGGCGACUC